ACUGAUGUAUUCAAUGAGUUUAUAGCCUUGGCCUACACGCCUGGGUAAUCUUUGAAAUUUUAUCGUGAUGGGGAUAGAUCAUUGUAAUUGUUGGUCUUCAAC
Molecule: non-coding RNA, 102 nt
Organism: Capsicum annuum
Lineage: Eukaryota; Viridiplantae; Streptophyta; Magnoliopsida; Solanales; Solanaceae
Source: Rfam